This 157-nucleotide ribosomal RNA is filed under the name Rhodocybe pallidogrisea. RNAcentral's name for it is "5.8S ribosomal RNA". It matches the Rfam family "5.8S ribosomal RNA". Rfam says of the family: 5.8S ribosomal RNA (5.8S rRNA) is a component of the large subunit of the eukaryotic ribosome. It is transcribed by RNA polymerase I as part of the 45S precursor that also contains 18S and 28S rRNA. Functionally, it is thought that 5.8S rRNA may be involved in ribosome translocation. Lineage: Eukaryota; Fungi; Basidiomycota; Agaricomycetes; Agaricales; Entolomataceae. The record is from RNAcentral.
AACUUUCAACAACGGAUCUCUUGGCUCUCGCAUCGAUGAAGAACGCAGCGAAAUGCGAUAAGUAAUGUGAAUUGCAGAAUUCAGUGAAUCAUCGAAUCUUUGAACGCACCUUGCGCUCCUUGGUAUUCCGAGGAGCAUGCCUGUUUGAGUGUCAAUA